Molecule: long non-coding RNA, 1944 nt
Organism: Bactrocera neohumeralis
Lineage: Eukaryota; Metazoa; Arthropoda; Insecta; Diptera; Tephritidae
Exons: 2
Source: RefSeq, a predicted model, not a curated record
AAGUGCGCUGCGAAGAACGAAAAUAAGAAGAAGAAAAGUAAAUGCCCGGAUUAGCGAUAUUGUAGUUCUCAUGUAUAUAUAUAGGAAUUAAAUUUGGUUGUAAUAAGGUUCAAAUAUUUUGACUCUUUUUCUUCACUAUAAACAAUAUUAGUUCGAGACUUGAAUAAGCGACACAUGUGGUUUCAUUUCUUAAUUUUUUUGACAAAUGAGUUUUUGUCGUAUUUUAUAUAGUCUUGCAACUUAGAUUUGUACAUACAUACAUAAGUAUGUAUGUGAAUGUUUUUUUACUAUAUUUAUACUCUCACCUAAAACCAAUCGAAAUAUGUUGAUAUGUAAGCAAAUGAUCGAGAUGAUGGGAUGAGUUGAACUCCGUUUGUCCGUCUGUUCGUACUUCCAUGCAAACGAUAACUUGUGUAAAACUUGCGAUAUCACAAUUAAACAUGGGAAACUUGCGUCCAAAUUAAGAGACCAUAGCCGCAGUGAGGAACAUCUAUGGACUAAAAUUUUUCAAAAACUGGACGCCCCUAAUAUGUUUAAGGCACAUAUCUCAGAAACCUUACAAAGUAUAUCGACCACACUUGUUGAGAAGGAAGUUUUUUGACAAAUUGGAUGAAACCUCAUUAAAUGGUGAUCCCUUUCGAGGCUCCCUACUAGAAAAAACACAGAAACUUUACAUUUCUUCUUCUUCUUAAUUGGCAUAGAUACCGCUUACGCGAUUAUAGCCGAGUUAACAACAGCGGGCCAUGGUUUCUUAUUUUCGCAACAUGGCGCCAAUUGGAGAUUUCAAGCGAAGCCAGGCCCUUCUCCACCUCGUAUUUUCAACGGAGUGGAGGUCUUUCUCUUCCGGGUACUGCUGCGAAUACUUUCAGAGCUGUAGUGUUUUCGUCCAUUUGGACGACUUAAAUUGACUAUGUCAAUGUCGCCGUAUAUCUCAUACAGCUCAUCGUUCCAUCGUAUGCGAUAUUUCUCUCCAAAACUCGUAACGUCGACUUGUCAGAUAUUGUCAUCGUCCACGCUUCUGCACCAUAUAGCAGGACGGUGAGUGACUUAUAGGGUUUGUUUUUAGUUCGAGAGGACUUUACUUCUCAAUUAUCUACUCAGUCCAAAGUAGCACCUAUUGGCAAGCGUUAUUCUGGGUCGGAUUUCGAGACUGACAUUGUUGUUGCUGUUAAUUGCUGGUUCUAAGGUUGACGAAAUUAUCUACAACUUCAAAGUUAUGACUGUCAGCAAUGACGUGAGAGCCAAGUCGCGAGUGCGACGACUGUUUGUUUGAUGACAGGAGAUAUUUCGUCUUGACUCGUUCACUGCCAAAACCCAUUUGUUUUGCUUCCUUAUCAACGAUGGAUAAUAUGUAGAAGUUCACGCAAGUGAGGAAAGUUCUCUAAUUGCCAUUAAAAAUAACAUGUCAGCUUGACACGAAUCAGACUUGAUCUGUCAAAACAAGCUAUUCAAAAAGUGGCUUUACUUGGUUCACCCAUUACCACUCACUCCGAAAAUUCGUGUGUCACAUUUUCACAAAAUUAAGUAGAUUUGUUGAAAAAUAAUGUGGCUCAGUAUUAAAUAUGAAUCGAAUCGGUCUAGAUCUUGAACUAGACCUCAUACCUUUCUUACAACGACUUCCGAUUUCCUCGGCUCAGAGCUUUGAAAAUUGUGAGAUAUUAUGAAAUAUUCGGCUACACCCGAACCAAGUUAUUCUUUAUUUGGUUUUUUUUAGUUUUUUUUUUUUGUGUUAAAUUCGCGCAAUUUCCCACAAAUUUGUACAGGAAUUGAAUUGUGUUUUGAGUAGUAAGAAAUAAUUUCACAGAUCUUCCUACUAUUAUUCAUUAAAAAACGAGAUAUAAACUUCACGAGACCAAAAAGUACAUGUAUAACAUUUGAUGUUCAGCACUAAUAUUACGGUAUCAAAUUUUAAUAUUACUAUUUUUUUAAAUUAUAAAAAACAAA